UACGUAGGGGGCUAGCGUUGUCCGGAUUUAUUGGGCGUAAAGAGCGUGUAGGCGGCCAGGUAGGUCUGCUGUGAAAACUCGAGGCUCAACCUCGAGACGUCGGCGGAAACCAUCUGGCUAGAGUCCGGAAGAGGAGAGUGGAAUUCCUGGUGUAGCGGUGAAAUGCGCAGAUAUCAGGAAGAACACCCGUGGCGAAGGCGGCUCUCUGGGACGGUACUGACUCUGAGACGCGAAAGCGUGGGGAGCGAACAGG
This 253-nucleotide ribosomal RNA is filed under the name uncultured bacterium. RNAcentral describes it as "partial 16S ribosomal RNA". It matches the Rfam family "Bacterial small subunit ribosomal RNA", at positions 524 to 776 of the family's 1533-position model. The record is from RNAcentral.